RNAcentral lists this ribosomal RNA (254 nucleotides) under uncultured bacterium. Its description in RNAcentral is "partial 16S ribosomal RNA". It matches the Rfam family "Bacterial small subunit ribosomal RNA", at positions 524 to 776 of the family's 1533-position model. The record is from RNAcentral.
UACAUGGGGUGCAAACGUUGCUCGGAAUUAUUGGGCGUAAAGCGCACGUAGGCGGAUCGUUAAGUCGGGGGUGAAAUCCUGGAGCUCAACUCCAGAACUGCCUUCGAUACUGGCGAUCUUGGAGUCCGGGAGAGGUGAGUGGAACUCCGAGUGUAGAGGUGAAAUUCGUAGAUAUUCGGAAGAACACCAGUGGCGAAGGCGGCUCACUGGCCCGGUACUGACGCUGAGGUGCGAAAGCGUGGGGAGCAAACAGG